This is an RNA transcript of Uranotaenia lowii, 2972 nucleotides long. It is a transcript of the gene named zinc finger protein 62-like, with no coding region annotated. NCBI's taxonomy places the organism in Eukaryota, Metazoa, Arthropoda, Insecta, Diptera, Culicidae. The record is from RefSeq and is a predicted model, not a curated record. The transcript has 3 exons.
GCCCUGAUCCAAAAUUGGGGACCUGAAAUCAAUUGCCCGUCUUUCAAACCUCCCGUGUACAAAACUUUAUCUCAAUCUGAACCGUAAUCACUAUCAAUAUUGCAAAAACAGUAAACAAUUAAUAUGAACGACCCCUUUUGCCGAUCCCCGAUCCAAAAUUUGACACCUGAAAUCAAUCACUCGUCCCUCAAAACUUCCAUGUUCAAAUUUUCAUCUCAAUCCAAUCAAUAUUCGUCUCAGAAUCGCAAAGAUAGUGAAAAAUUCAUAUGGACGACCCCUCUGGUCGAACCCUUACUUAAAAUAAGAUAAUUUAAAUCAAUUGCUGGUUCUUCAAAACACCCAUGGGCAUGUUUUCAUCUCAAUCCGAUGCAUAAUCACGACAAUAUCCUGAAAUCAGAGAACAACUAACAUGGACGACCCCUUUUUUCGACCACGAUCCGAAACUUGAUACCUGUAAUUAAUAACCUUUACUGUAAGACUUCCUGAGCCAUUUUUCAUUACAAUCAUAUGCACAAUAAAGAUAAUAUUGCAAAAACUGCGAACAGACCCCUUUUAACGACCCCUUACUCAAAAUUUGAAACCUGAAAGCUAUGGAGCAUCCCUCAAAACUUGUAUGUGGAAAUUUUAAUCUGAUUCCAAGGAAGAAUAAAGUCAAUAUUGCAAAAACAUUAAAAGGUUGAUAUGGCCGACCCCUGAUCCUGAAUUGAUUGCUCGUCCCUCAAAACACUCAUGUACUAAUUUUCAUCACAAUCCGAUGUAUAAUAACGCCAUUACAGCAAACACAUUAAACAGUUGAUAUGGACGACCCCUUUGGUAUAAUAACGCCAAUAUCGCAAAAACAUCAAACAGUUGAUAUGGACGACCCCUGUUUCUAACUUUGAUACCGAGAAUCGAUUGCUCAUCUCUCAAAACACUGAUGUGAAAAUUACGAUGUGUGCAGGAAUAGUGAUAGAAUAAUUUUCAUAAAAUAUACUUAGUCUCUUAACAUCUCAGAUUUUCAGAAUAUUGGAAUAAGGAUUAAGAUGAUUGAAAUAUGCGCUUCGGGACUCGGGUCAUAUUGACCCUAACAGUUUUGAAAAGUCAAUGUCGUAUCCGCAAAGACAUAAUGUGUUUUCAAGUUGCCAAAAGUAAACAAAUUUGAAGUUUUGAAGAAAAUCUGAAGAUCCAUCAAAUAAUAAAAAUAUUUUUAUGAUUAUUUGAAUAAUUUCAGAUUGAGCCAAAGCAAGGAUUUUCGCGCAGUGUUUGCUCAGCAUGCAUUUUUGUCAUUGGAGAGUUUUAUAAAUUUGCUGAAAACAUUCGCCAAAACCAAGACUACCUUAGUAUUGCGAUAUCCACUGAAGUGAACAACUGUACGAAUAUGGUGCCGCAAAUUGAACAUGAACCAUUGGAUCCGAAAUUUGAAGACACGGAUCAAUUACUUGAACCCAAGCAGGAGAUCAUUAUAGAUAACGAUAACCAGAGCGAUGAACACGAUCUUGUAGAUAUCAAGAUUGAACCAUUGGAUUUGGAAAGUGACAGACACAAUCAACUCUUAAAACCACACGAGGUUACGGUAAAUGAUAACAGUAACCAAGAACCUCCUACAAACCAUCAAAAAUCUGCUCCGCAAAAGUCGAAAUCCAAAACUAAAGAACAAAUCCAGGAAACUGAAAAGGCAUUGAACGAUUUUUUUAAAAUGGUAUGUGAACUAUGCGGAUACGAAGCGCCAAGUUUUAAAUUAUUGUUGCGUCAUUUCAAGAAGAUCCACCGCCAACCCGGCUAUGUAGUCUGUUGUGGAAAGAAAUUAUAUCUGCAGUUCACGUUAAAAUUGCAUAUGCAGAAUCAUAUGAACCCUGAUGGGGAGCUUUGUAAAAUUUGCAACAAACGCUUUAGAAACAUAUCACUACACCGAAGAAUGGUUCACUCCAAAGAGGGAAAAAAGAUUUUAUGCGACAAAUGUCCGAAGGCUUUUGCAAACAUGUUCUCGCUUAAAAGCCAUAUGAAGAAGCAUCAACCUAAAACGCAUCAACCUAAAACGCAUCAGAAUAUUCCAUGCCCACAGUGCGAUAUGAAGCUUGCGAGCAAACAUUCGCUUAAAGCCCACAUUUUCCACAUGCACUGCGUUGAGAGGCCACGGAUGAUUUGCGACUUUUGUGGAAAACAGUUUCUCAGUAAACCGAGUUUUGAUAGACAUGUUGACAAACACAAGGGAAUAGAACCCAAACAAGCAGCAUACCGAAAAAUUCAAUGCCACAUUUGUAAAAAAAUGUUACAUGCUGAGCGAGGACUAAAAAGACAUUUGAAGUUUGUUCACGCCGAAAGAACGAAAACGCACGAAUGUGAUGUAUGCCACAAAAAGUAUGCGAAUUCUGAACUAUUACAGUCACACAAAGCAAGGAUACAUAUCGAAGCCAAAUUGAAAUGCGAGUUCUGCGAAAAACUGUUCAAGCAAAACUUUAAGCUCCAGGAGCAUCGAGCAACCCACUUUGAAGAGCGUCCCUGGAAGUGUGAAUACUGUGAAACAGCUGUUAACACCAGAGGUAGCCUCUGGUCCCAUGUCCAAAAACACCACCCAGCGGAAAAGGCCGAACAGAAACGCCUAGCAGCAGAGAAAGCGUGUGGCUAAAGCAAAAGAUAUCCAAUGCAUGAAAUCAAAUGAAUUAGUAAGAACAAGUCGAAUGGUGUUGGAAAAAGAAGUAUAAAUUUUGAUUUCUAUCCUGAAAAAUAGACCAAAAAUGUUGGCCGUCCACACCGGUGUGAUAAAAUAUUUACGAAGUUUGAGAAUUCCAAUCUCCUUAUACAAUCAUCGAAUUCAAAUAAUAAUCUUAGCACAUUGAGGACACUAAGGAAAUCUAAGCCAUGAAACAUCAACCCUUGUUAUUCUAUAUCUCAGAAGAAAAUUCCAUGGACGAAAUUCUAAAAAUGGAGUAUCUUCAAGUUAUUGAAAUUGUUUAAAUUUUGUAGAUGAAAGUUUCAUUAUGGAGUUUAUACCA